Molecule: long non-coding RNA, 234 nt
Filed under: Elaeis guineensis (African oil palm)
Lineage: Eukaryota; Viridiplantae; Streptophyta; Magnoliopsida; Arecales; Arecaceae
Description: long non-coding RNA (EGUI_LNC079171)
Source: RNAcentral
AGCUAGGUUCUCCUUUCUGUUGAUCUUUUGAAGGUCGAUGUCACCUCAAUCUACGAUCUCUCGGAUAAGGUAAUAGCAGCAUAGAAUAUACUUGGUGCACUGAUGGGAUCUCGACUCUUUGACUUGAGCAAUGGCUCCAGUAUUAUUGCAGUAUAACAAGAUAGGGCCAUCAAUGGAAGGUGCCACUUCGAGCUCAUCGAUGAACUUUCACAACUAUAUAACUUUUUUUACAGC